This 51-nucleotide transfer RNA is filed under the name Phrynocephalus mystaceus (secret toadhead agama). Its description in RNAcentral is "partial tRNA-Tyr". The record is from RNAcentral. Lineage: Eukaryota; Metazoa; Chordata; Lepidosauria; Squamata; Agamidae.
UUAAGGCGGUGGUUUGUAAUUCCAUUUAUGGAGUGUGAGCUCCUCUUAUCA